GAUGAACGCUAGCGGCAGGCCUAAUACAUGCAAGACGAACGGUAAGUUUGAUAGCAAUAUUGAACCAAGAGUGUCGUAAGGGUGCGUAACACGUAUGCAAUCUGCCCGCAACAGGAGGAUAGCUCCCCGAAAGGGGAAUUAACCCUCCAUAAGAUCACGGAGUGGCAUCACGUUGUGAUUAAAUCUGAGGAGGUUGCGGAUGAGCAUGCGUCUGAUUAGCUAGUUGGUAGGGUAAUGGCCUACCAAGGCGAUGAUCAGUAGGGGAACUGAGAGGUUGAUCCCCACACUGGCACUGAGAUACGGGCCAGACUCCUACGGGAGGCAGCAGUAGGGAAUAUUGGACAAUGGGUGCAAGCCUGAUCCAGCCAUGCCGCGUGCAGGAAGACGGCCUUCUGGGUUGUAAACUGCUUUUGCCAGGGGAUAAAAUACUCUUGCGAGAGGAAUUGAAGGUACCUGGUGAAUAAGCCACGGCUAACUACGUGCCAGCCGCCGCCGUAACAC
This 501-nucleotide ribosomal RNA is filed under the name uncultured bacterium. RNAcentral describes it as "bacterial SSU rRNA". It matches the Rfam family "Bacterial small subunit ribosomal RNA", at positions 28 to 526 of the family's 1533-position model. The record is from RNAcentral.